RNAcentral lists this long non-coding RNA (1209 nucleotides) under Homo sapiens (human). RNAcentral's name for it is "non-protein coding DSG2-AS1:5". The record is from RNAcentral. Lineage: Eukaryota; Metazoa; Chordata; Mammalia; Primates; Hominidae.
UCACCAUCAAAGAGUGGUAUGGGUUUUAUUAGACUUCCGUAAUCCAGGUCUCGUUUCUCAGGCAACUCUGAAGCGUAUCACACUUUAUCUGAGAGGGUCACAAUUAGUGAAGGAAGGAAUUGGCCUUUGCAAGUUUGUGUUGCUCACGAACUUAUUAAAUUGCUUGAUUUUUUUUUUUCUUCCUAGCUUUGAUAGAUUGACUUUGCCUCUUUUACUGCGUGCAUAGUGCCAUCUUGUGGCCAUAAAGCAUAUAACACUCAUAGUUAUGCCACAGUGCUUCUGUUCCAUCUUAUUUCUGUAGUCCAGAGGAUCUCUUAAGUGUAGAAACACAUGGAUUAUUACUAGCCAAGGCCAUCACUGGCCAAGCCCAUCUAAAAGCCAGAGGCAGCAAGCAGUGCCCGUUGAAACAUCCAUAAAAGGUGAUAUUUGGUUAGCAACGUCCUACUGUAGACAUUUUGAUGUGGUGGUGAUUGGAAUAUGGUCUGCAGAGAUCAACCAGAAUUAGCUCCAUGUGCCACUGGGAGUGGGAACUGAAGUCACGCAGGAAUAAACCAGUCUUCAUGCUUUAGGAUGUUCUGAUGUGCCAUUGUCGUGAAAUCUUCAUUCAUGAGACAUUCCAGUUUACCGGCAGUGUCGACUAGAAUAUGCUACAGCCCCCAAAAUACGUUUUUAGUAUAAGGAUUAUUUUGAGCUGAUUAUUUUGAGAAAUAGCAGACGCAGGAGAAACUCUGAAGACAGAACGCAAACUUCAGCUAGUGUCUUGAAUUUAAGUCCCAAAUCAUCUAAGAAGCGGUCAUCUAGCUCUCCUUCAAUAAAACUGCAACAACCAAUAGAAGCAUUCAGCGAUUCAGUUUCUUCCUGAGAAUAAACCAGAAGGCAAUCUUUGGCUGUGUGAUUUUCAUCUUCCUCAGUGUAAGAGGCCGCUUUCUAAAAUGAAAACAAAACAAAACAAACACAAAACAGACAAAUAAUUAGCAAUAUAAAUUCAUUUUAAAACAAGACUCUAUAUUCCUGUUCAAAAUGCAGUAAUGUGAAUUUAAUUACAAGGAACCAUCAGGGAAACACAAAUUGAGAGAGAUCCUACGACACAACUGGACUGUAUUCUUAAAAAAAAUUAAUAUCAGGGAAAAAAUAGAAAGGCAGAGGGGACUGUUUCAGAUUAAAGGAGACUAAAGUGUCAGGACAACUAAAUGGAAUGCAGGAUCCUGA